Anastrepha ludens (Mexican fruit fly) is the source of this 739-nucleotide long non-coding RNA. RefSeq lists it as uncharacterized. NCBI's taxonomy places the organism in Eukaryota, Metazoa, Arthropoda, Insecta, Diptera, Tephritidae. The transcript is spliced from 3 exons. The record is from RefSeq and is a predicted model, not a curated record.
GGAAAGCAGGAUCAUAUGGCUAAACAUUGUGUAAAGGUGCCAUGUGUGCCCAAUUGCGAAGCAGCGAGCUGGACAUAGAUGUUGCUAUUUUAAGCGAGCAGUGUAAAAACAGGUAAUUUUAAUGCGAGGGCAGCAUUGUGGUAAAAGAAAAAAACUCGAAGGGCAAGAAGUUUCUGAAUGCGCUAGCAGUGUUUGACUUAGUUCUACUUAACAGUGGCACAGAAAACACAUUCAGCAAAAUUGUACUGGUUCCAUCAUAGACCUCUCAUUUAUAAAUAGGGUACUGAAAACGAGAGAUGGCACAUGACGAUACAAGAACUGCCCAAGCCAGAAAUAUAAAUAGCGACCCUCGUAUUCCCAACAUCAAUAUACCAGCAGAUUAUAAUGAAGUUACGUUUCCUCACGGCAAUUGGAUUUCCCGGCAUCUUAGAAGUUAUGCAGACUGCGUUCAAGUCGAAUUGAGUAUAUAAGGUGGCGCCAUUAAAAAACAGUUUCUUUAUAUUUCGCGAUUUUGACAAGUUGACGUCAGCUCUUUUCGCAAUACAAAACAAACGCACGAAACAAACAAAAGCAGGAGAUAUUACAUGUUUGUGAAAAUUCAAUGAAUGGCUUGGUAAUAUUGUGAUUUGUGAGAUUUAAACCUAUCAAACUAAUGAAAACGAAGUGCCGUGUGUUACAUUGUGAAAGCACAUGUGAUAUAAAGCCUCCAAAUUCAGUUUGCUUGCGUGUUUAUGCGGAA